RNAcentral lists this non-coding RNA (445 nucleotides) under Aurelia aurita (moon jelly). The record is from RNAcentral. Lineage: Eukaryota; Metazoa; Cnidaria; Scyphozoa; Semaeostomeae; Ulmaridae.
GCCAGGGCAAGAGGUGUUUUGCUUUUCUGCUCAGGCAGAUGGCAUAACCCUAACCCUAGGUUUAGAUGCUGGUAAUUCGGCUUUCUUCGAAACUUUGCACCGCAGACACCGUGCAGUCGUUCUAGCAUGCUUCCUGGACGGAGCAGAGUGGAUGGUAAACAAAGAAGCAUGCCCCAUAUGCCCAAAUAAUGGCAGUUGACGCAGAUGUGUUGGCCUAAACAAGACUGGGCGAGCUUGCCUUGCACGUGCUUGCUAUGUUACCUGGAAGGAAACUUCAGCAGUAGAUUCUGUCUAAAGUGUUGACGUUAGGGGUUCGUCCCUGAAUUCCUUUUUAGGCCAAUGUAGUUUGUGCUCUUUGAAGCCUCACAUUUUAGAGUAAAUGAAAGAAUCUGAGUACUUGACUGAUUAAGUUGUUCAUGUCAAGUUAUGAUUCCUUCGGACAUUG